RNAcentral lists this ribosomal RNA (583 nucleotides) under uncultured bacterium. RNAcentral describes it as "partial 16S ribosomal RNA". It matches the Rfam family "Bacterial small subunit ribosomal RNA", at positions 356 to 1375 of the family's 1533-position model. The record is from RNAcentral.
UGGGGAAUUUGGACAAUGGGCGAAAGCCUGAUCCAGCAAUGCCGCGUGUGUGAAGAAGGCCUUCGGGUUGUAAAGCACUUUUGUCCGGAAAGAAAUCCUUGGCUCUAAUACAGUCGGGGGAUGACGGUACCGGAAGAAUAAGCACCGGCUAACUACGUGCCAGCAGCCGCGGUAAUACGUAGGGUGCAAGCGUUAAUCGGAAUUACUGGGCGUAAAGCGUGCGCAGGCGGUUUGCUAAGACCGAUGUGAAAUCCCCGGGCUCAACCUGGGAACUGCAUUGGUGACUGGCAGGCUAGAGUAUGGCAGAGGGGGGUAGAAUUCCACGUGUAGCAGUGAAAUGCGUAGAGAUGUGGAGGAAUACCGAUGGCGAAGGCAGCCCCCUGGGCCAAUACUGACGCUCAUGCACGAAAGCGUGGGGAGCAAACAGGAUUAGAUACCCUGGUAGUCCACGCCCUAAACGAUGUCAACUAGUUGUUGGGGAUUCAUUCCUUAGUAACGUAGCUAACGCGUGAAGUUGACCGCCUGGGGAGUACGGUCGCAAGAUUAAAACUCAAAGGAAUUGACGGGGUCAUAGCUGUUUCCU